Non-coding RNA from Peromyscus maniculatus bairdii (prairie deer mouse), 231 nucleotides. Lineage: Eukaryota; Metazoa; Chordata; Mammalia; Rodentia; Cricetidae. The record is from RefSeq and is a predicted model, not a curated record.
CUGGUGUGGCCUGCACUUGAGUGGCAGAAGUCCCCUGCUUGCCUGGGCCCAGUAGCAAGGAUCCAGGGAGUGGAGGCAACUCUGGGCAGGCCAGUACACACCAGUGUGCAGUACUUACUCAGUCACUGAGGAUGUGAGUUCCCAGGAAUACAAAGGCCCACUCAGUGGCAACCUACGAGAGGAGGGAAGGGAUCAGCAGGAGUGGGAUUGGACAUGAGAAGGUCAUCAAAG